Molecule: long non-coding RNA, 513 nt
Filed under: Anser brachyrhynchus (Pink-footed goose)
Lineage: Eukaryota; Metazoa; Chordata; Aves; Anseriformes; Anatidae
Description: lncRNA (ENSABRG00000022089.1)
Source: RNAcentral
AUUGACAGAGAUAAUGAUGCCGUUGCAUUUGAAAAUAAGGUACAGCAACUGACCCCAGAGGAGGGAGGAAAGGAAAUUUUUUUGCUGUUGGGGAAGCAAAGGGCCUGAGCUGUAAAGCCAGAGAUGAUUUGUCAGACUCACAUGAUGAAGCAGGAAAGUUCCAAGAAAACCCAAGCAUCUAAAAUCUUAAAUGACUGCUCCACAUCAGAAAAAAAGAUGUCCACUUGUGAAAUCUGCAUUCAUACAUGGCAGUGGCAAUUACAUGCAGUUACUGUGAAGCUGGUUUUCAUGAGCGUUAUGUUCUUACUCAGCAUAAGAAGACUGAUAGAGAUGAAAAAAGAUUCAAAUGUGAUCAGUGCAGCUACACAUGCAAGCAGAAUAAUGUGUAAGCAUGCUGAAGAUUGUGGACUGGUGAUGGCAAAAACUGCUACACCCAGAAAAAGAAGCAAGGGCAGAAGGAAAAAAUGUGAGAACCUAAAGCAUGUUAAGCAAGAAGGUUCUGCCUAUUACUAG